UUUUAAAUAAGUAAGAGUGAGUUGUGGAUGCCUUGGGUCUGGAAGUCGAUGAAGGACGUGAUUACCUGCGAUAAGCCUCGUGGAGCUGGAUAUAAGCUACGAUACGGGGAUUUCCGAAUGGGGAAACCUAAUUAGAGUAAUAUCUAAUUGCAUUAGAAUGAAUACAUAGUUCUAAUGACGAGACACGUUGUGAACUGAAACAUCUUAGUAGCAACAGGAAGAGAAAAUAAACAAUGAUUCCAUUAGUAGCGGCGAGCGAACUUGGAAGAGCCCAAACCAACAUUUAUGUUGGGGUUGUAGGACUAUCUACAUGAAGUUACAAAAUUUUGUUAUAGCAGAAAAAGUUGGGAAACUUUAGCAUAGAGGGUGAUACUCCCGUAUGCGAAAUGGCAAAAUCUUCUGAUAGUAUCCUGAGUAGGGCGGGGCACGUGAAACCCUGUCUGAAUCUGCCGGGACCAUCCGGUAAGGCUAAAUACUAACCAGACACCGAUAGUGAACUAGUACCGUGAGGGAAAGGUGAAAAGAACCCCGGGAGGGGAGUGAAA
This 545-nucleotide ribosomal RNA is filed under the name Mycoplasma sp. CSL10166. RNAcentral's name for it is "partial 23S ribosomal RNA". It matches the Rfam family "Bacterial large subunit ribosomal RNA", at positions 1 to 543 of the family's 2925-position model. Lineage: Bacteria; Bacillati; Mycoplasmatota; Mollicutes; Mycoplasmatales; Mycoplasmataceae. The record is from RNAcentral.